GACGAACGCUGGCGGCGUGCCUAAUACAUGCAAGUAGAACGCACAGUUUAUACCGUAGCUUGCUACACCAUAGACUGUGAGUUGCGAACGGGUGAGUAACGCGUAGAUAACCUGCCUGGUAGCGGGGGAUAACUAUUGGAAACGAUAGCUAAUACCGCAUAAUAUUAAUUAUUGCAUGAUUAUUAAUUGAAAGGUGCAAUUGCACCACUACCAGAUGGACCUGCGUUGUAUUAGCUAGUAGGUGAGGUAACGGCGCACCUAGGCGACGAUACAUAGCCGACCUGAGAGGGUGAUCGGCCACACUGGGACUGAGACACGGCCCAGACUCCUACGGGAGGCAGCAGUAGGGAAUCUUCGGCAAUGGGCGAAAGUCUGAACGAGCAACGCCGGGGGGGUGAAGAAGGUUUUCGGAUCGUAAAGCUCUGUUGUAAGAGAAGAACGGGUGUGAGAGUGGAAAGUUCACACUGUGACGGUAUCUUACCAGAAAGGGACGGCUAACUACGUG
RNAcentral lists this ribosomal RNA (505 nucleotides) under uncultured bacterium. Its description in RNAcentral is "partial 16S ribosomal RNA". It matches the Rfam family "Bacterial small subunit ribosomal RNA", at positions 28 to 507 of the family's 1533-position model. The record is from RNAcentral.